GACGAACGCUUGCGGCGUGCUUAACACAUGCAAGUCGAACGGAAAGGCCCUGCUUUUGUGGGGUGCUCGAGUGGCGAACGGGUGAGUAACACGUGAGUAACCUGCCCUUGACUUUGGGAUAACUUCAGGAAACUGGGGCUAAUACCGGAUAGGAGCUCCUGCUGCAUGGUGGGGGUUGGAAAGUUUCGGCGGUUGGGGAUGGACUCGCGGCUUAUCAGCUUGUUGGUGGGGUAGUGGCUUACCAAGGCUUUGACGGGUAGCCGGCCUGAGAGGGUGACCGGCCACAUUGGGACUGAGAUACGGCCCAGACUCCUACGGGAGGCAGCAGUGGGGAAUAUUGCACAAUGGGCGGAAGCCUGAUGCAGCAACGCCGCGUGCGGGAUGACGGCCUUCGGGUUGUAAACCGCUUUCGCCUGUGACGAAGCGUGAGUGACGGUAAUGGGUAAAGAAGCACCGGCUAACUACGUGCCAGCAGCCGCGGUGAUACGUAGGGUGCGAGCGUUGUCCGGAUUUAUUGGGCGUAAAGGGCUCGUAGGUGGUUGAUCGCGUCGGAAGUGUAAUCUUGGGGCUUAACCCUGAGCGUGCUUUCGAUACGGGUUGACUUGAGGAAGGUAGGGGAGAAUGGAAUUCCUGGUGGAGCGGUGGAAUGCGCAGAUAUCAGGAGGAACACCAGUGGCGAAGGCGGUUCUCUGGGCCUUUCCUGACGCUGAGGAGCGAAAGCGUGGGGAGCGAACAGGCUUAGAUACCCUGGUAGUCCACGCUGUAAACGGUGGGUACUAGGUGUGGGGUCCAUUCCACGGGUUCCGUGCCGUAGCUAACGCUUUAAGUACCCCGCCUGGGGAGUACGGCCGCAAGGCUAAAACUCAAAGGAAUUGACGGGGCCCCGCACAAGCGGCGGAGCAUGCGGAUUAAUUCGAUGCAACGCGUAGAACCUUACCUGGGUUUGACAUGGAUCGGGAGCGCUCAGAGAUGGGUGUGCCUCUUUUGGGGUCGGUUCACAGGUGGUGCAUGGCUGUCGUCAGCUCGUGUCGUGAGAUGUUGGGUUAAGUCCCGCAACGAGCGCAACCCUUGUUCACUGUUGCCAGCACGUUAUGGUGGGGACUCAGUGGAGACCGCCGGGGUCAACUCGGAGGAAGGUGGGGAUGACGUCAAGUCAUCAUGCCCCCUAUGUCCAGGGCUUCACGCAUGCUACAAUGGCUGGUACAGAGAGUGGCGAGCCUGUGAGGGUGAGCGAAUCUCGGAAAGCCGGUCUCAGUUCGGAUUGGGGUCUGCAACUCGACCUCAUGAAGUCGGAGUCGCUAGUAAUCGCAGAUCAGCAACGCUGCGGUGAAUACGUUCCCGGG
This 1343-nucleotide ribosomal RNA is filed under the name uncultured bacterium. RNAcentral's name for it is "16S ribosomal RNA". It matches the Rfam family "Bacterial small subunit ribosomal RNA", at positions 28 to 1378 of the family's 1533-position model. The record is from RNAcentral.